GACGAACGCUGGCGGCGUGCCUAAUACAUGCGAGUCGAACGCUUCUUUCCUCCCGAGUGCUUGCACUCAAUUGGAAAGAGGAGUGGCGGACGGGUGAGUAACACGUGGGUAACCUACCCAUCAGAGGGGGAUAACACUUGGAAACAGGUGCUAAUACCGCAUAACAGUUUAUGCCGCAUGGCAUAAGAGUGAAAGGCGCUUUCGGGUGUCGUUGAUGGAUGGACCCGCGGUGCAUUAGCUAGUUGGUGAGGUAACGGCUCACCAAGGCCACGAUGCAUAGCCGACCUGAGAGGGUGAUCGGCCACACUGGGACUGGGACACGGCCCAGACUCCUACGGGAGGCAGCAGUAGGGAAUCUUCGGCAAUGGACGAAAGUCUGACCGAGCAACGCCGCGUGAGUGAAGAAGGUUUUCGGAUCGUAAAACUCUGUUGUUAGAGAAGAACAAGGACGUUAGUAACUGAACGUCCCCUGACGGUAUCUAACCAGAAAGCCACGGCUAACUACGUG
RNAcentral lists this ribosomal RNA (508 nucleotides) under uncultured bacterium. RNAcentral's name for it is "partial 16S ribosomal RNA". It matches the Rfam family "Bacterial small subunit ribosomal RNA", at positions 28 to 507 of the family's 1533-position model. The record is from RNAcentral.